Brassica napus (rape) is the source of this 960-nucleotide long non-coding RNA. RefSeq lists it as uncharacterized. The record is from RefSeq and is a predicted model, not a curated record. NCBI's taxonomy places the organism in Eukaryota, Viridiplantae, Streptophyta, Magnoliopsida, Brassicales, Brassicaceae. The transcript is spliced from 2 exons.
CUCUAAACCCUAAGUUUGUGACUUUUGAUAAAACAUUAAGUGGUAUUUUUGUGAUUUUUUUGACCUUGAAUGCUAGUUUGGAAACAAAAUCUUGAUUUAAUGCUAUUUUUGUCUUUUUCUCCUAUUAUUUCUUCCUGUCUUUUUGUGUGAGCUAAAAGAACGACGUAACCGAAGUUGGCUUCUCUCUCCGUAUCGACGAUGUUGCUUGAGAUUUGCCUUAUCUAUUUCUAUUUUAUCUUUUUCGUCGGAAAUUUUUCUUCUACUUCGUCUCCGCCUCACUCGUUGAUGCUUUUUUGUUGGUCUUAAUCUGGUUACCACUUCAAGUUGUAUUGAAACUAUGAACUCACGGAUUCAACGGUGGAGAAAGAUGAAGAUCGCAUGGUUUAUGACGAGAUGAAAAAGAAGGUGAAGCUCUCUCUGAUCCUGAAAAUCCAGACUCGGAUCCCUUCUUGGCACUGGUUGUCGAUCAAAAAUAUGAAAUCAUGGUGUCUUUAAAGAGCGUAAAUUUGCAGACUUGAUCAAGAACAAUCAAUGGGCUGGGUGUGUUUCACGCGCCGCCGUACGCAGUCAUUGCGAUUCUCUUGCUUCCGAAUACGCAUCCGCCACACCAUGGCUAAAAGGCAAGGACAAAUGAUGUUUGUUGAUGGCGAGCACAAGCCUUACAUUGAAGAGAGUACCGAAGAAACAAUUAUGACAUGGACCAUGAUGGACGAAGAAGAAGAUAGGCUUUUGUGCUUUGCAAUGAAAAUGUUCAUCUGAAUGCUAUAUAAAUUUAGAAAACCGUAAUUUGUAAGUUUCUGCAAAACAUGUCCACUUGAUACGAUGUACAUGUCUACAUGAAAAGUCAUAUUGUACAUGUGUACACCUCGAAGAAACGAAGACAAAAUAUGUCACCGAAUCUUAAAUAUGUUAUUAACUCCAUUUUAACACUCAUCAAUAUAAAAAUAAAUUACAAAGAUU